CAGUCGCCACGGUAAGACAGAGGAUGCAAGCGUUAUCCGGAAUGAUUGGGCGUAAAGCGUCUGUAGGUGGCUUUUCAAGUCCGCCGUCAAAUCCUAAGGCUCAACCCUGGACAGGCGGUGGAAACUACCAAGCUGGAGUAUGGUAGGGGCAGAGGGAAUUUCCAGUGGAGUGGUGAAAUGCGUUGAGAUCGGAAAGAACACCAACGAUGAAAGCACUCUGCUGGGCCGACACUGACACUGAGAGACGAAAGCUAGGGGAGCAAAUGGGAUUAGAUACCCCAGUAGUCCCUGUCUCUUAUAA
This 301-nucleotide ribosomal RNA is filed under the name uncultured bacterium. RNAcentral describes it as "partial 16S ribosomal RNA". It matches the Rfam family "Bacterial small subunit ribosomal RNA", at positions 509 to 809 of the family's 1533-position model. The record is from RNAcentral.